This 73-nucleotide transfer RNA is filed under the name Chelonia mydas (Green sea turtle). It matches the Rfam family "tRNA". From Rfam's summary of the family: Transfer RNA (tRNA) molecules are approximately 80 nucleotides in length. Their secondary structure includes four short double-helical elements and three loops (D, anti-codon, and T loops). Lineage: Eukaryota; Metazoa; Chordata; Testudines; Cheloniidae. The record is from Rfam by way of RNAcentral.
GACCCCAUAGCCCAGGGGUUAGAGUGUUGGUCUUGUAAACCAAGAGUUGCAAGUUCCAGUCUUGCUAGGGCCU